UCGUCAGCUCGUGUCGUGAGAUGUUGGGUUAAGUCCCGCAACGAGCGCAACCCUUGUCAUUAGUUGCCAUCAUUAAGUUGGGCACUCUAAUGAGACUGCCGGUGACAAACCGGAGGAAGGUGGGGAUGACGUCAAGUCAUCAUGCCCCUUAUGACCUGGGCUACACACGUGCUACAAUGGACGGUACAACGAGAAGCGAACCUGCGAAGGCAAGCGGAUCUCUUAAAGCCGUUCUCAGUUCGGACUGUAGGCUGCAACUCGCCUACACGAAGCUGGAAUCGCUAGUAAUCGCGGAUCAGCACGCCGCGGUGAAUACGUUCCCGGGCCUUGUACACACCGCCCGUCACACCAUGAGAGUCUGUAACACCCAAAGCCGGUGGGAUAACCUUUAUAGGAGUCAGCCGUCUAAGGUAGGACAGAUGAUUAGGGUGAAGUCGUAACAAGGUAACCGUA
RNAcentral lists this ribosomal RNA (453 nucleotides) under uncultured bacterium. RNAcentral's name for it is "bacterial SSU rRNA". It matches the Rfam family "Bacterial small subunit ribosomal RNA", at positions 1052 to 1504 of the family's 1533-position model. The record is from RNAcentral.